Molecule: transfer RNA, 71 nt
Filed under: Marmota marmota marmota (Alpine marmot)
Lineage: Eukaryota; Metazoa; Chordata; Mammalia; Rodentia; Sciuridae
Also listed under: 1 other name
Rfam family: tRNA
About the family: Transfer RNA (tRNA) molecules are approximately 80 nucleotides in length. Their secondary structure includes four short double-helical elements and three loops (D, anti-codon, and T loops).
Source: Rfam by way of RNAcentral
AGUAAGUAGCUCAGUGGUAAAGUAUUUAUCUCACAAAUGUGAGGCCCUGGGUUCAAUCCCCAACUUUGCUG